CCUACGGGAGGCUGCAGUGGGGAAUAUUGCACAAUGGGCGCAAGCCUGAUGCAGCCAUGCCGCGUGUGUGAAGAAGGCCUUCGGGUUGUAAAGCACUUUCGGCGGGGAGGAAGGCGGUGAGGUUAAUAACCUCAUCGAUUGACGUUACCCGCAGAAGAAGCACCGGCUAACUCCGUGCCAGCAGCCGCGGUAAUACGGAGGGUGCAAGCGUUAAUCGGAAUUACUGGGCGUAAAGCGCACGCAGGCGGUCUGUCAAGUCGGAUGUGAAAUCCCCGGGCUCAACCUGGGAACUGCAUUCGAAACUGGCAGGCUAGAGUCUUGUAGAGGGGGGUAGAAUUCCAGGUGUAGCGGUGAAAUGCGUAGAGAUCUGGAGGAAUACCGGUGGCGAAGGCGGCCCCCUGGACAAAGACUGACGCUCAGGUGCGAAAGCGUGGGGAGCAAACAGGAUUAGAUACCCCAGUAGUC
RNAcentral lists this ribosomal RNA (465 nucleotides) under uncultured Klebsiella sp. RNAcentral describes it as "bacterial SSU rRNA". It matches the Rfam family "Bacterial small subunit ribosomal RNA", at positions 338 to 795 of the family's 1533-position model. The record is from RNAcentral. Lineage: Bacteria; Pseudomonadati; Pseudomonadota; Gammaproteobacteria; Enterobacterales; Enterobacteriaceae.